This 467-nucleotide ribosomal RNA is filed under the name uncultured bacterium. RNAcentral's name for it is "bacterial SSU rRNA". It matches the Rfam family "Bacterial small subunit ribosomal RNA", at positions 329 to 793 of the family's 1533-position model. The record is from RNAcentral.
GGCCAGACUCCUACGGGAGGCAGCAGUGAGGAGUAUUGGUCAAUGGGCGAGAGCCUGAACCAGCCAAGUCGCGUGAAGGAUGAAGGAUCUAUGGUUUGUAAACUUCUUUUAUAUGGGAAUAAAGUGAGGAACGUGUUCCUUUUUGUAUGUACCAUAUGAAUAAGCAUCGGCUAACUCCGUGCCAGCAGCCGCGGUAAUACGGAGGAUGCGAGCGUUAUCCGGAUUUAUUGGGUUUAAAGGGUGCGUAGGUGGUUAAUUAAGUCAGCGGUGAAAGUUUGUGGCUCAACCAUAAAAUUGCCGUUGAAACUGGUUGACUUGAGUAUAUUUGAGGUAGGCGGAAUGCGUGGUGUAGCGGUGAAAUGCUUAGAUAUCAGGAGGAACAUCGGUGCCGUAAGCGCUUUACUGGGCCGUAAUUGACGCUGAGGAACGAAAGCCAGGGUAGCAAAUGGGAUUAGAUACCCUAGUAA